RNAcentral lists this ribosomal RNA (289 nucleotides) under uncultured bacterium. RNAcentral describes it as "partial 16S ribosomal RNA". It matches the Rfam family "Bacterial small subunit ribosomal RNA", at positions 28 to 305 of the family's 1533-position model. The record is from RNAcentral.
GACGAACGCUGGCGGCGUGCUUAACACAUGCAAGUCGAGCGGUAAGGCCUUUCGGGGGUACACGAGCGGCGAACGGGUGAGUAACACGUGGGUGACCUGCCCUCCACUUCGGGAUAAGCCUGGGAAACUGGGUCUAAUACGGGAUGGGACCAUUCCAUGCAUGUGGGGUGGUGGAAAGUCGGUGCUGUUGUGGUGCUGGCGGUGGGGGAUGGGCCCGCGGUCUAUCAGCUUGUUGGUGGGGUGAUGGCUUACCAAGGCGACGACGGAUAGCCGGCCUGAGAGGGUGAUC